CCUACGGGAGGCAGCAGUGGGGGAUAUUGCACAAUGGGGGGAACCCUGAUGCAGCGACGCCGCGUGGGUGAAGGAGUGCUUCGGCAUGUAAAGCACUAUCGGCAGGGAAGAAGCAAGAAGGUACCUGACUAAGAAGCACCGGCUAACUACGUGCCAGCAGCCGCGGUAAUACGCAGGGGGCGAGCGUUACCCGGAUUCACUGGGUGUAAGGGGAGCGUAGACGGCCAAGCAAGCCAGGGGUGAAAGCCCGGGGCCCAACCCCGGGACUGCCCUUGGGACUGGAUGGCUGGAGUGCGGGAGGGGCAGGCAGAAUUCCUUGUGUAGCGGUGAAAUGCGUAGAGAUGAGGAGGAACACCGGCGGCGAAGGUGGCCUGCUGGACCGCGACUGACGUUGAGGCUCGAAAGCGUGGGGAGCGAACAGGAUUAGAUACCCUUGUAGUC
Molecule: ribosomal RNA, 441 nt
Filed under: uncultured bacterium
Lineage: Bacteria
Description: partial 16S ribosomal RNA
Rfam family: Bacterial small subunit ribosomal RNA
Source: RNAcentral